UACAGAGGGUGCAAGCGUUGUCCGGAAUCACUGGGCGUAAAGGGCGCGUAGGCGGCCCGAUAAGUAGGGGGUGAAAUCUUGCGGCUCAACCGCAAGGCUGCCUUCUAGACUGUCGGGCUUGAGCACAGUAGAGGCAGGUGGAAUUCCCGGUGUAGCGGUGGAAUGCGUAGAGAUCGGGAAGAACAUCGGUGGCGAAGGCGGCCUGCUGGGCUGUUGCUGACGCUGAGGCGCGACAGCGUGGGGAGCAAACAGGAUUAGAUACCCUGGUAGUCCACGCCGUAAACGAUGGGUACUAGGCGUCGGGGGGAGCGACCCUCCCGGUGCCGUCGCUAACGCAGUAAGUACCCCGCCUGGGGAGUACGGCCGCAAGGCUGAA
This 376-nucleotide ribosomal RNA is filed under the name uncultured bacterium. RNAcentral's name for it is "bacterial SSU rRNA". It matches the Rfam family "Bacterial small subunit ribosomal RNA", at positions 524 to 898 of the family's 1533-position model. The record is from RNAcentral.